Molecule: ribosomal RNA, 115 nt
Filed under: Jaculus jaculus (lesser Egyptian jerboa)
Lineage: Eukaryota; Metazoa; Chordata; Mammalia; Rodentia; Dipodidae
Source: RNAcentral
GUCUGUGGCCAUGCCACCCUGAAUGCACCUGAACCCAUCUCGUCUUGGAAGUUAAGCAGGAUUGGGCCUGGUUAGUACUUGGAUGGGAGAAGAGAUAUUUGUUACACUAUAAAGA